GAGAGAUGGAAGUACACCAGCAACCCCUGAAUUAGACGCGUGCAGGAACUGGAAUUUCAGUAGAGAGGAGAAAGGUUUUGAUAGUCCUUUACUGAAAUAGCGAAGAAUGGAAUAAAGUAUUCUUCAUUCAGAAGAGCCAGGAAAAUUAGAAUAAGACACACUUAGUACUUGGGGG
Non-coding RNA from Tinamus guttatus (white-throated tinamou), 175 nucleotides. NCBI's taxonomy places the organism in Eukaryota, Metazoa, Chordata, Aves, Tinamiformes, Tinamidae. The record is from RefSeq and is a predicted model, not a curated record.